Musa acuminata AAA Group (dessert banana) is the source of this 837-nucleotide long non-coding RNA. RefSeq lists it as uncharacterized. NCBI's taxonomy places the organism in Eukaryota, Viridiplantae, Streptophyta, Magnoliopsida, Zingiberales, Musaceae. The record is from RefSeq and is a predicted model, not a curated record. The transcript is spliced from 3 exons.
CACGAGCAGAGGAGAAUGGACUCGUCGCAAAGGCGGAACCUUCUACUCAGAAGAGGGAAGAAGCAGACCUCCAAGGAUGGGAGUGAACUCUCGGAAGAAGAGAAGAGAAAGGAGGCAAUGUGGAUGGACAGAACAGAGCAAAGUCGAUCAGUAACAUGAGAGAUGAUAAGAGACAUCAAGAAGCAUGUUGUAGAAUCUGCGGAAUAUUCCAAUGGCGAUGAGUGGGUUUCCUCCGAGGUGAUUUCUCCAAGACCUAUCGCAGCGUGGUUGCCCGAUCAGCACAGGGGGGAAUGGGACCCGAUGACAUGCUGGUACAGCGAGAACUGAGAAUAAAUCUUCACUUAUUGGUCGUUAAAAGUAGAUCAUUAUAAGUCGUCUUCUCCACACGGAAGUGGCUGUCAUGGAACGACAACCUGAAUGGCUCUUCUCAUGCUUGCAGAAACAAAAUACGAGAACAUAACAUGAUUGAUGAUUAGGGCAGGAAGACCGGAAGAGGUAAUUUAAGGGCAGUGGUGUGGGACAUGUAACGAAGACUUGUUGAUACGCAUGCGGAAGAGGAGACUUCCUGGCAACUUAUAUAAGCGGACAAACAAUAAGACGGUUGUCUUAUGAUUGUUAACAUUCGCAUUUGGCCCAAAAAGUCUCACCCCCUCGCAUCAGAGGUUGGGAAUCUAUCGCAUCUGUGUGAGUUUCUAAUGCAAGUUGUAGCAGAUAACUUCGAUUAGCAGAGAGUCGGCCAACGUGUAAUGUCAUCUCGAAAGCCUUAGCUCAUAAGAAAAUAAUGAAGGAAGAUGUGAUGUCUUUGUCAAACAAGUCGAAGAAACUUGAGUUGAAAGA